GACGAACGCUGGCGGCGUGUUAACACAUGCAAGUCGAACGGAAAGGCCCUGCUUUUGUGGGGUGCUCGAGUGGCGAACGAGUGAGUAACACGUGAGUAACCUGCCCUUGACUUUGGGAUAACUUCAGGAAACUGGGGCUAAUACCGGAUAGGAGCUCCUGCUGCAUGGUGGGGGUUGGAAAGUUUCGGCGGUUGGGGAUGGACUCGCGGCUUAUCAGCUUGUUGGUGGGGUAGUGGCUUACCAAGGCUUUGACGGGUAGCCGGCCUGAGAGGGUGACCGGCCACAUUGGGACUGAGAUACGGCCCAGACUCCUACGGGAGGCAGCAGUGGGGAAUAUUGCACAAUGGGCGGAAGCCUGAUGCAGCAACGCCGCGUGCGGGAUGACGGCCUUCGGGUUGUAAACCGCUUUCGCCUGUGACGAAGCGUGAGUGACGGUAAUGGGUAAAGAAGCACCGGCUAACUACGUG
RNAcentral lists this ribosomal RNA (467 nucleotides) under uncultured bacterium. RNAcentral's name for it is "partial 16S ribosomal RNA". It matches the Rfam family "Bacterial small subunit ribosomal RNA", at positions 28 to 507 of the family's 1533-position model. The record is from RNAcentral.